AAUUUCUCCAGCGAACGUUCUUGGUGAAGUGCUCUUCCUUCGUUCAUUUUGAAUUUACAUCUCGUUGAUGGACGUCAAGGGAUGUCGCAGCUUUCCAGCGUUGGGUUAAAAACAUCAAGCGCUGGAGAGCACCUGCUAAGUAGCUCGCUCUUAUCACAAUUCUUUUAAAAAAGAUGGAAUAAUGGAUUGUAAACAUUCCUCCUUAAGAUUGGAAGCUUAUAAUUAUUGAUGAAAAAAAAGAUGUACAUAAAAUGAGUGCAACAUAUUACAAGCGCCAUAAAGCGGUUUUCUUGUGCUUAUACUCCCAAGAGCCUAAGAAUGUUUACAGGAUGAGGCUGCAAAAUAUAUGCACAAAUUGAAGGCAUUUUUGUAUAGUACAAUAAAGAGACAUCAAAUUUCUAAGAAACACAGUUAAAAAUGAUUGAUUUGGACAUAAGAAAAUAUUUGCUUUGUGUGGAAAUAGCAACCUUUAUCUCAGGAAUACAUGUCCAAUGUGCCAAAAAGGUGUCAGACUAUUUUUGAUAAUAAUACCGACUGGAAAAUUUACUUACAUGAGAAAGAUGGAAUAAUGGAUUGUAAACAAGGAUUUCUACUUAAGAUUGGAAGCUUAUAACAUAAGAAAGAAAUGACAGAAACUUUAUUAUUUUAAUCUUGAAACACCAGUUUAAUCAUAGUUUAUCAAUAUUGUAAUUAACAAUAUGAUGAGCAACCAAAACUGCUCCAGUCAAUCUGAAUGCAUGUGAAGACUAUUGUUUCUGAACAUAUUAAGAAUGUCAAUAAAAAUUUAUAAACAGCAGAACAAAGAAUAAUAUAUAUUAUUCAUGUUCUUGUUGUAUCAUUUUAGACGUAUGACCAUAUGAAAAAUGGAUGAGGGCAAAUCAUGACGAAGUAAAAUAGAAAUUAUAAUAUGAGAAAAAAAAUGAUAUAUAUAUAUAUAUAACAUUGAAUUUUACAUUACAUUGGAGUCUUGCAAUUAAAACCUAAGAAAGAGAUGAGAGAAGAGCAUAUAAUAAUGAAUCUACAUCACAUUGGAGUCUCAUGAUGAAGCUAGUUAUCUUGCAAUCGAUAACAAUAGAAUACACAGUGUGGAUCAUAUAAAAGGUAAAUUCAAAGUAUUUAUUGAUGAAAACAAUAAAUAUUUUUGUAAUGCUUGAGAUGUAUACGUAAUGUUGUGAAAAUCAAGUACGAUGAUGUCACAAUACGCUAUUCUGAUUACCCAUGAUCGGACUUGCCCUCACUGAUCUAAAUGUUAUGGAUAAGAAUUCUGGAUGUGUAUGGUCAUUAAUUGUGCGAUUUUGAUGUCCAAAGGAAACCAUUUAUGAAUAUUCAAAGAUAAUCUCGAAGAACAGAAGAUAAAGGAAGUAACAUUGUAUGAGAAUAAAAUAAAUAGCAAGUUCCAUAGAAAUACAAUUCUUUUAUUGGAACCUUUAUAUUACAUCCAAGGUAAAAAAUGCAAAUACGCGUUUCUGUUAGACUAGAUAUCCAUUUCGCAAGAACGUAACAUCGGUGAAAGAUCGCACAAAGGUUAGGCGGAACAGC
Molecule: non-coding RNA, 1539 nt
Organism: Linepithema humile (Argentine ant)
Lineage: Eukaryota; Metazoa; Arthropoda; Insecta; Hymenoptera; Formicidae
Source: RefSeq, a predicted model, not a curated record